UAUAGCCGCUACAGAGGAUUGCAGACUCUGCCCUUAAGUGUAUGCUCAGGUGCGGUAGUGGGGUAUCGUUAGGCAGACUUAGAAAUGAACUGAGCAUUGAGGGUGUAGAUAGAUUAGCUGCAUCCAAAAGAGCAAGGGAGAUUGGCAAAUUCCCUUCUCUGAGGAUAUGGAUAUCGGUGCUUAUGGAAAGCAAACCAUCUGUAAGGAAGAACACAUGGGUGACGACGGGAAAGCGAUGGCUCAAGACCUUCGUCGGCGGAGGUGCAGUGGCGGGUGAGGGUUCGAGGCUGAGAUUUGUUGAG
RNAcentral lists this long non-coding RNA (302 nucleotides) under Androctonus crassicauda. The record is from RNAcentral. Lineage: Eukaryota; Metazoa; Arthropoda; Arachnida; Scorpiones; Buthidae.